RNAcentral lists this non-coding RNA (45 nucleotides) under Schistosoma mansoni. Lineage: Eukaryota; Metazoa; Platyhelminthes; Trematoda; Strigeidida; Schistosomatidae. The record is from RNAcentral.
AUCUAGCUGACGGGUCCCACACAGGACGAAACGGGCGUCCUCCAU